AGUCUCACCAUCAACACCCAAAGCUGAAAUUCUACUUAAACUAUUCCUUG
Molecule: transfer RNA, 50 nt
Filed under: Equus caballus (horse)
Lineage: Eukaryota; Metazoa; Chordata; Mammalia; Perissodactyla; Equidae
Description: partial tRNA-Pro
Source: RNAcentral